GAUGAACGCUGGCGGCGUGCCUAGUACAUGCAAGUCGAGCGAACGGACGAGAAGCUUGCUUCUCUGAUGUUAGCGGCGGACGGGUGAGUAACACGUGGAUAACCUACCUAUAAGACUGGGAUAACUUCGGGAAACCGGAGCUAAUACCGGAUGAUCUUUUGAACCGCAUGGUUCAAAAGUGAAAGACGGUCUUGCUGUCACUUAUAGAUGGAUCCGCGCUGCAUUGGCUAGUUGGUAAGGUAACGGCUUACCAAGGGAACGAUGCAUAGCCGACGUGAGAGGGUGAUAGGCCACACUGGAGCUGAGACACGGUCCAGACUCCUACGGGAGGCACCAGUAGGGAAUCUUCCGCAGUGGUCGAAAGCCUGACGGAGCAACGCCGCGUGAGUGAUGAAGGUCUUCGGAUCGUAAUACUCGGUUAUUAGGGAAGAACAUAUGUGUAAGUAACUGUGCACAUCUUGACGGUACCUAAUCAGAAAGCCACGGCUAACUACGUG
RNAcentral lists this ribosomal RNA (497 nucleotides) under uncultured bacterium. Its description in RNAcentral is "partial 16S ribosomal RNA". It matches the Rfam family "Bacterial small subunit ribosomal RNA", at positions 28 to 507 of the family's 1533-position model. The record is from RNAcentral.